AUUGAACGCUGGCGGCAGGCCUAACACAUGCAAGUCGAACGGUAACAGGAAGAAGCUUGCUUCUUUGCUGAUGAGUGGCGGACGGGUGAGUAAUGUCUGGGAAACUGCCUGAUGGAGGGGGAUAACUACUGGAAACGGUAGCUAAUACCGCAUAACGUCGCAAGACCAAAAAGGGGGACCUUCGGGCCUCUUGCCAUCGGAUGUGCCCAGAUGGGAUUAGCUAGUAGGUGGGGUAACGGCUCACCUAGGCGACGAUCCCUAGCUGGUCUGAGAGGAUGACCAGCCACACUGGAACUGAGACACGGUCCAGACUCCUACGGGAGGCAGCAGUGGGGAAUAUUGCACAAUGGGCGAAAGCCUGAUGCAGCCAUGCCGCGUGUAUGAAGAAGGCCUUCGGGUUGUAAAGUACUUUCAGCGGGGAGGAAGGGAGUAAAGUUAAUACCUUUGCUCAUUGACGUUACCCGCAGAAGAAGCACCGGCUAACUCCGUG
This 490-nucleotide ribosomal RNA is filed under the name uncultured bacterium. RNAcentral's name for it is "partial 16S ribosomal RNA". It matches the Rfam family "Bacterial small subunit ribosomal RNA", at positions 30 to 507 of the family's 1533-position model. The record is from RNAcentral.